Physeter macrocephalus (sperm whale) is the source of this 2389-nucleotide long non-coding RNA. Lineage: Eukaryota; Metazoa; Chordata; Mammalia; Artiodactyla; Physeteridae. The record is from Ensembl.
GCCCCUUACGCUGUGCGAGGAGCCUGGAAGUGCGCGUGCGUGUGCGGAUCUGCGCGUGCGCAAGGAGACGGCUGUCUUUGCUGCGCGGUCCGGCGCGGGUCUGAGGUAAGAUUUUCGCCUCUUGGGGUGUUCCGACUCUGCGCGGUCAAGCAGGAGGGGAAGACACCAGAGAAGAGGCUUGAGGUCAUAAGACGCUGGCCUUGCGCGCUGACUUGGCCGUCCCGGCCUCCGGCAGGCGCUCCCGGGCGGCGGCCCUUCCCGCGAGAGCCCGGGCCUGCUCGGCCAUUAGAGGCCCGGGCGGCAGCUCUGGGAGGAGGCGGGUCGGCCAGGCCUUGUCUCCAUCCGCGAUGCUCCCGAUUUCAAAAGGCUCCAGAGCAACUUUUGGGUCCUUUCUCCACAAGGAAAAGGAAUAGCAUCUCCGUCGUUCUCGUCACGGUGACUCCGGCCCCAAUGGCCCCCUGUCCCUGGGUCCCGGUGAGCACUCGGUGGCUUUGUUCCGGCCGUGGGUGUCGGUUACAGAAGUUUGAUUGGGAGAUUUGUCUUAAUGCCAGAUGGUCAGCACCUCAGUGGAAUAUUUUGGAUGGGAAAAAAUCCAGUGUGGUGGAAAUGGAGAGAAACUACAUCAGAGAGAAAUCAAUUUUAACCACUGUAAAGAAGCCUUGAGUGUUCACACUCAUGCCUUAAGGCUCAAAGGAAAACUUACAUUAGAAAGAAAACUUGUGUUAUCAGUGUGAAAAUGCCUUCAUAAAGAACUGUGCCCUUGAUCUACACAAGAAAACCCAUUCUGGAGAGAAUGCUCCUGUUAGUAUAAUCGGUGUGAAACAGGCUUCAACCAAAAUUUACACCUGGUUCACAAGAAAACUUACACUCAAGAGAACCCUAUAAAUGCGCUGACUGUAAGAAAGGCUUACCUUCUUCCUCAUACCUUAGGGAAUGUAUAAGAAUUCAUGGUGGAGAGAGGACGUAUGCUUUUAAAGAACGUAGGAAAGCUCUUUCUCAUUCUACAAACCUUUUUGUACAUAUGCAAACUCACUAGAGAAAUAUCCUAUGAGUGUAAAGGAUGUGGGAAGACUUUCACUCAAUCUUCAUGUUAUUCAGCAUUUAAGAAUUCACAGUGGACUGAUGCCUGUGAAAUGUAAGAAACUUGAAAAAGCCUUUUCUUAUUCCCCAGAUCUUGCUAAGGAUAUAAGAUUUUAUACUAGAAACACUGUGUAAGGAGUGCAGCCCAGAGUUUACUUUUCUCAGAACAGUAUUCACAUGCGAAUUCAAACUGGAGAAAAACCUUAUAAAUGUAAGGAAUGUGGAAAAGCCUUUGCUAGUUCCUCAUACCUUACUGUACAUAUGAAGAAUUCACUGGUGAGAUGCCUUGUCAUUGUAAGGAAUGUGGGAAAAUGUUUAGUAUUUCAUCUUGCUUUAAAAGUCACCUGGAAACUCACCCUGGGGUAAAACCUUAUAAGCACUGUGGGAAAGCCUUUAUUUGAUUCUCAUUUCUUAUUCGACAUUUAAGAAUGCACGAUGUAGGGACUUCCCUGGUGGUCCAGUGGUUAAAACUACGCUUCCAAUGUAGGGGGCACGGGCAUGGGUUCUAUUCCAGGUUGGGGAACUAAGAUCCCACAUAUGCUGGUGUAGCCAAAAAUAAAUAAUUAAAUUUUAAAAAAUAAAGAGUGCACAGAAAGACCUUUUGAAUGUAAGGAAUGUGGUAAAGCAUUUAGAUAAUCCUCGUACUUUAGUCAACAUAAAAGAAACACAUACUGGAGAGAAGCGUAUAAAUAUAAAAAAUGUGGGAAAGCCUUCACUAUUUCAUCAGGCCUUACAGUACACGUGAGAAUUCACACUGGUGAACAACCUUUUGAAUGUAAGGAAUGUGGGAAAUCCUUUACUCGAUCCACAUGUCUUAUUCAACAUUUAAGAAUUCACAGUGGGGAGAAGCCAUAUAUAUGAGGAAUAUGGGAAAACCUUUAGUAAUACUUCAUGCUUUUCUGAAUGUAUACACAUUCACACUUGAGAGAGAACUUAUGCUUGCAAAGAGUGUGGGAAAGCCUUUGAUACUUUCACACUUACUGAACAUGUACUAAUUCAUAGUGGAGGUAACCUUAUUGUAAGGAAUGUGGGAAGCCUUUUGCUCUGCCUUAUACUUUAAUAUUCAGCUGUGAGUUCACAGGUGUGAAAAUCUUACGAAUGUAAAAAGUAUAGGAUUUUUUUUAGUUUUUAUUUCCUGCUAUGGGAAAGUAUGAAACCACACAUAAUGAGAAAUCCCCUGAGUGAAAGGGAUAUAGGAAAGCCUUUGUUCUUUGUCAUUAGGAAACAUGAUUCACACUGGAGAAGAACCAUAAAUUAUAAAUAUAGGGAGUGUGGAAAAGGCUAUGUUAAUUUAUUGUAAAAGUCACAC